GCCAAUAAUCUAGCCCCCCCCCCAAUCGAAUAAACAAUAGAACUUGUACCACAAACUAAAACAUUCUGAUACUUCAGUAAAGGCGAUUGAAAAAUUUUUAGGAGCUAUAUAAGUAGUACCGCAAGGGAAAGAUGAAAUAAAAAUGAAAUAAAUAUUAAGCACAAGAAAGUAGAGAUUUACCCUCGUACCUUUUGCAUCAUGGUUUAACUAGUCAAAUUAAGCAAAAUGAUUUACAGUUUAACUUCCCGAAACUAAGCGAGCUACUUUAAGGCAGCUUACUGAGCAAACCCGUCUCUGUUGCAAAAGAGUGGGAAGACCUUUAAGUAGUGGUGACAGACCUAACGAGCUUAGUGAUAGCUGGUUACUUAAGAAUAGGAUUUAAGUCCAACCUAAAGUCUUAUAAAUAACUUUUAAUUCAUAAAUAAAAAUUUUACUUUAGGGGCAUUCAAGUAAGGUACAGCCUACUUGAAACAGGAUACAACCUCCAAAGAAGGGUAAUUUAUUUUAAAAUAAUUAAGCAGGCUUAAAAGCAGCCACCUUUAAGAUAGCGUCAAAGCUCCGUUAUUUAUUUCCCCUAAUUUCCCCAAUUACCUAGAACCCUCUAUUAGUAUUAAGUACUUCUAUAAUUUUAUAGAACAUUUUAUGUUAAAACUAGUAACAAGAAAAAGAAUUUCACUUUAAUGCAAGUGUAGAUCAGAUAGGACACACCACUGACCAUUAACAUACCUUCAGAAAAAUUAGCAACUUUACAAGAAAAACUUAAUUUCCAUUAUGUUAACCUAACACCAGAGCAUUACAAGUAAGAUUAAAAGAAAAAGAAGGAACUCGGCAAGUAUUAACCCCGCCUGUUUACCAAAAACAUCGCCUCUUGAUCAAUUAUAAGAGGUCCAGCCUGCCCAGUGACUUUGUUCAACGGCCGCGGUAUCCUAACCGCGCGAAGGUAGCGUAAUCACUUGUUCUUUAAAUCAGGACUAGUAUGAACGGCAUCACGAGGGUUUCACUGUCUCCUUUUUCUAAUCAGUGAAUCUAAUCUCCCCGUGAAGAAGCGGGGAUAAACUUAUAAGACGAGAAGACCCUAUGGAGCUUUAAACUAAAUGACAUUUGCUUUAACUCCCAAUACUUCAGAGUAAUCAACACUCACUAUAGCCUUUUGAUCAUUAGUUUUAGGUUGGGGUGACCACGGAGAAAAAAAUAACCUCCACAUUGAACGGGGUUUAGACCCCCUGAGCCACGAGCAACAACUCUACGCACCAAUAAAUUGACAUUAAUUGACCCAAUAUAUUGAUCAACGAACCAAGUUACCCUAGGGAUAACAGCGCAAUCCGCUUUAAGAGCUCCUAUCGACAAGCGGGUUUACGACCUCGAUGUUGGAUCAGGGUAUCCUAGUGGUGCAGCCGCUACUAAUGGUUCGUUUGUUCAACGAUUAAAACCCU
This 1433-nucleotide ribosomal RNA is filed under the name Isthmohyla graceae. RNAcentral describes it as "partial 16S ribosomal RNA". It matches the Rfam family "Bacterial large subunit ribosomal RNA", at positions 371 to 2597 of the family's 2925-position model. The record is from RNAcentral. Lineage: Eukaryota; Metazoa; Chordata; Amphibia; Anura; Hylidae.